Molecule: ribosomal RNA, 497 nt
Filed under: uncultured bacterium
Lineage: Bacteria
Description: partial 16S ribosomal RNA
Rfam family: Bacterial small subunit ribosomal RNA
Source: RNAcentral
AGUGAACGCUGGCGGCAGGCCUAACACAUGCAAGUCGAACGGCCGCACAGUAAGAGCUCGCUUUUACGGUUGGCGACUGACGGGCGAGUGAGGCAUACAUCGGAUUCUACUUUUUCGUGGGUGACUACGUAGGACCACUUACACUAAUACAGCAUACAUCCUACGGGAGAAAGCAAGAGAUAUUCAGACCUUUCGUGACUCUAUGAGAUGAAUCCGCGUCGCAUUAGCUAGUUGGUAAGGUAACGGCCUACCAAGGCGACGAUGCGUAGCCGAUCUGAGAGGAUGAUCAGCCACACUGGAACUGAGACACGGUCCAGACUCCUACGGGAGGCAGCAGUGGGGAAUAUUGGACAAUGGGCGCAAGCCUGAUCCAGCCAUACCGCGUGAGUGAAGAAGGUCUUCGGGUUGUAAAGCCCUUUUGUUGGGAAAGAAAAGCAGCAUGUGAAUACCCCGCUGUUCUGACGGUACCCAAAGAAUAAGCACCGGCUAACUUCGUG